UGUGAUGAUGAAGUCAUGCUGCUCCGACAUCACCACCGACAGCAGAGCCAGCUGUGCGCUACAAACACAGUACAGAGUAUAAGGAUAUCCGACUGAUGGGCGUGUACUAAACCCACGUUUUUAACCUUGUCUGGCAGUCAAGAAGACGUCAAUGUUGGAUUUACAGCACAGCAAGACUCACUGUGUUCUCACUACGUGACACACAAAUUAAGAGUUUGUAUUAACCUGUAUUACUGCUGGUCCUCAGAAGCCAGAAAAAGUUCUCAAAAAGCUCCAGGCUGUUUUAACCGUCAGCACAUAUUUUACCUCAAGGUUGUCCAUAUCUCACAGACCUGCUCUUCACUAAGUGUAACUUCAGCUGCACCUACACCUUCAGAAAAAAGUAAUAGAAGCAAGUAAAGAAACCAGCAGGAAGCAAGAGGGAAUGCACACUCAUCCAUCGCCUACUGCUUUAUCCUCCGUAAGAGGACCGCGGGGAGCUGGAG
Molecule: long non-coding RNA, 485 nt
Organism: Solea senegalensis (Senegalese sole)
Lineage: Eukaryota; Metazoa; Chordata; Actinopteri; Pleuronectiformes; Soleidae
Exons: 3
Source: RefSeq, a predicted model, not a curated record